AGCGAACGCUGGCGGUAGGCCUAACACAUGCAAGUCGAACGGCAGCACAGUAAGAGCUUGCUCUUACGGGUGGCGAGUGGCGGACGGGUGAGGAAUACAUCGGAAUCUACUUUUUCGUGGGGGAUAACGUAGGGAAACUUACGCUAAUACCGCAUACGACCUACGGGUGAAAGCAGGGGAUCUUCGGACUUUGCGCGAUUGAAUGAGCCGAUGUCGGAUUAGCUAGUUGGCGGGGUAAAGGCCCACCAAGGCGACGAUCCGUAGCUGGUCUGAGAGGAUGAUCAGCCACACUGGAACUGAGACACGGUCCAGACUCCUACGGGAGGCAGCAGUGGGGAAUAUUGGACAAUGGGCGCAAGCCUGAUCCAGCCAUACCGCGUGGGUGAAGAAGGCCUUCGGGUUGUAAAGCCCUUUUGUUGGGAAAGAAAAGCAGCAGGUUAAUACCCCGCUGUUCUGACGGUACCCAAAGAAUAAGCACCGGCUAACUUCGUG
Molecule: ribosomal RNA, 492 nt
Filed under: uncultured bacterium
Lineage: Bacteria
Description: partial 16S ribosomal RNA
Rfam family: Bacterial small subunit ribosomal RNA
Source: RNAcentral